AAAUAAGCUAUUAAGGGCUAAUGGUGGAUGCCUAGACUAUAAGAGGCGAUGAAGGACGUACUAGACUGCGAUAAGCUACGGGGAACUGUCAAGAAGUUUUGAUCCGUAGAUUUCCGAAUGGGACAACCCAGCAUACUAUGUAUGUUACUACUUCGGUAGAGCGAACCAAGGGAAGUGAAACAUCUCAGUACCUUGAGGAAGAGAAAUCAAUUGAGAUUCUGUUAGUAGCGGCGAGCGAAAACGGAUUAGAGCGGUUAUAUUUAGCAUUUUUGUUAGUAGAAGUUGUUGGAAUGCAACGCGAUACAGAGUGAAAGCCUCGUAUACGAAAACAUUAAUGUGGAACUAAGAUAACGAACGAGUAGGUCGGAACACGUGAUAUUUUGACUGAAUAUGGGGGGACCACCCUCCAACUCUAAAUACUACUUAUAGAUCGAUAGUGCACAAGUACCGUGAGGGAAAGGUGAAAAGUACCCCAGUGAGGGGAGUGAAAUAGAACCUGAAACCAUUAGCUUACAAUCAUUCGGAGCCCUAUGUCUUGUACAGGGUGACGGACUGCCUUUUGCAUAAUGAGCCUGCGAGUUGUGGUAUAUGGCAAGGUUAAGUCAAGUACGAAGCCGUAGCGAAAGCGAGUGUGAAUAGCGCGAAUUAGUCAUAUGCUGCAGACCCGAAACGAAGUGAUCUAUCCAUGAGCAGGUUGAAGCUGGUGUAAGAGCCAGUGGAGGACCGAACCCGCAGGCGUUGAAAAGUCUUGGGAUGACUUGUGGAUAGGGGUGAAAGGCCAAUCAAACUUCGUGAUAGCUGGUUCUCUCCGAAAUAUAUUUAGGUAUAGCGUCAUGUUAUUAGCAUAUAGGGGUAGAGCACUGACUGGGCUAGGGCUACUUACCGUGGUACCAAACCCUAUCAAACUUCGAAUACUAUAUGUGGAAUCAUGGCAGUCAGGCGUAGGGUGAUAAAAUCCUAUGUCGAGAGGGGAACAACCCAGACUAACAGCUAAGGUCCCUAAGUCGUACUUAAGUGGAAAACGAUGUGAAGUUACUGUGACAACCAGGAAGUUGGCUUAGAAGCAGCCAUCUUUUAAAGAAAGCGUAACAGCUCACUGGUCUAGUGAUUUUGCGCGGAAAAUAUAACGGGGCUAAAGUACGCACCGAAGCUUUAGAUGCACAAUUUAUUGUGCGUGGUAGGAGAGCGUUCUAUUCAGCAUUGAAGCGAUACCGGUGAGGAGUCGUGGAGCGGAUAGAAGUGAGCAUGCAGGCAUGAGUAGCGAUAAUUAAAGUGAGAAUCUUUAACGCCGAAAACCCAAGGUUUCCUACGCGAUGCUCGUCAUCGUAGGGUUAGUCGGGUCCUAAGUCGAGUCCGAAAGGGGUAGACGAUGGCAAAUAGGUUAAUAUUCCUAUACUUAUAAUAGAGCGUGAUGUGGGGACGCAUAGAGUUAAUCGAGCUGGCUGAUGGAAUAGCUGGUCGAAGGAUGUAGGUUGAGAAGUAGGCAAAUCCGCUUCUCACUAGACCGAGAUCUUACAGGCCGAACAAACUCUUCGGAGAGCGUUUGGAAUCGAUGAUACUGUCGUGCCAAGAAAAGCCACUAAGCAUAUCUAUUAUAACCCGUACCGUAAACCGACACAGGUAGGUGGGAUGAGUAUUCUAAGGCGCGUGGAAGAACCCUGGUUAAGGAACUCUGCAAACUAGCACCGUAUCUUCGGUAGAAGGUGUGCCUACUUAGGUAUUAGGGAUUUACUCCCGAAAGCCUGAGAGGUUGCAACAAAGAGUCCCUCCCGACUGUUUACCAAAAACACAGCACUUUGCUAACUCGCAAGAGGAUGUAUAAGGUGUGACGCCUGCCCGGUGCUCGAAGGUUAAUUGAUGAUGUCAGCGUAAGCGAAGCAUUUGAUCGAAGCCCGAGUAAACGGCGGCCGUAACUAUAACGGUCCUAAGGUAGCGAAAUUCCUUGUCGGUUAAAUACCGACCUGCAUGAAUGGCGUAACGAGAUGGGAGCUGUCUCAACCAGGGAUCCAGUGAAAUUGUAGUGGAGGUGAAAAUUCCUCCUACCCGCGGAAAGACGGAAAGACCCCGUGCACCUUUACUAUAGCUUUACACUGCUAUUGGGAUAUUCAUGUGCAGGAUAGGUGGGAGACUUUGAAACUCGGAUGCUAAUUCGAGUGGAGUUGUCCUUGAGAUACCACCCUUGAAUAUUCUGAUAGCUAACUGGGACGUAUUAUCUACGUUCAGGACAAUGUAUGGUGGGUAGUUUGACUGGGGCGGUCGCCUCCUAAAAAGUAACGGAGGCUUACAAAGGUUGGCUCAAACCGGUUGGAAAUCGGUUGUUGAGUAUAAUGGCAUAAGCCAGCCUGACUGUAAGACAUACAUGUCGAGCAGAGACGAAAGUCGGUCAUAGUGAUCCGGUGGUUCUGUGUGGAAGGGCCAUCGCUCAAAGGAUAAAAGGUACGCCGGGGAUAACAGGCUGAUCUCCCCCAAGAGCUCACAUCGACGGGGAGGUUUGGCACCUCGAUGUCGGCUCAUCGCAUCCUGGGGCUGAAGCAGGUCCCAAGGGUAUGGCUGUUCGCCAUUUAAAGCGGUACGCGAGCUGGGUUCAGAACGUCGUGAGACAGUUCGGUCCCUAUCUUCCGUGGGCGUAGGAAAGUUGAGGAGAUUUGCCCCUAGUACGAGAGGACCGGGGUGAACGUACCACUAGUGUACCAAUUGUUCUGCCAAGAGCAUCGUUGGGUAGCUACGUACGGGUGAGAUAAGCGCUGAAAGCAUCUAAGCACGAAGCCGACUCCAAGAUGAACUUUCCCUGAAGAUCCCAGCAAGACUAGCUGGUUGAUAGGAUAGAUGUGUAAGUGCUGUAAGGCAUUUAGCUGACUAUUACUAAUAGAUCGUUUGGCUUAUUUUU
This 2887-nucleotide ribosomal RNA is filed under the name Arcobacteraceae bacterium. RNAcentral describes it as "23S ribosomal RNA". It matches the Rfam family "Bacterial large subunit ribosomal RNA". The record is from RNAcentral. Lineage: Bacteria; Pseudomonadati; Campylobacterota; Epsilonproteobacteria; Campylobacterales; Arcobacteraceae.